Molecule: ribosomal RNA, 372 nt
Filed under: uncultured organism
Description: bacterial SSU rRNA
Rfam family: Bacterial small subunit ribosomal RNA
Source: RNAcentral
CGGGGGGGGCAAGCGUUGUUCGGAAUUACUGGGCGUAAAGGGCUCGUAGGUGGCCAACUAAGUCAGACGUGAAAUCCCUCGGCUUAACCGGGGAACUGCGUCUGAUACUGGAUGGCUUGAGUUUAGGAGAGGGACGCGGAAUUCCAGGUGUAGCGGUGAAAUGCGUAGAUAUCUGGAGGAACACCGGUGGCGAAGGCGGCGUCCUGGACCAACACUGACACUGAUGAGCGAAAGCCAGGGGAGCAAACGGGAUUAGAUACCCCGGUAGUCCUGGCCCUAAACGAUGAAUGCUUGGUGUGGCGGGUAUCGAUCCCUGCCGUGCCGAAGCUAACGCAUUAAGCAUUCCGCCUGGGGAGUACGGUCGCAAGGCUG